GACCUGCUCACUGAUAAUAAAUUAAAGAGCCGCAGUAUUCUGACUGUGCGAAGGUAGCAUAAUAGUUUGUCUUUUAAAUGGAGGCUAGAAUGAAUGGUUGGACAAAGUAUCUUCUGUUUCUUAAAUAUAAAAGGAAUUUGACUUUUAAGUGAAAAGGCUUAAAUAAAUUAGAAAGACGAUAAGACCCUAUAAAUCUUUACAAUAAAUAUAUUUUAAAUUUUUAAUUAUAAAUUAAUUAAAUAUAAUAUUAUAUUUUUGUUACACUGGGGCGGUGUAGAUAUAUUGAAAAACUGUCUAUAAAAUAAAAACAAUAAUUAUUGGUUAAUUAAUUUGAUCCUUUAAGAGAUUAGAAGAUUAAGAUACUUUAGGGAUAACAGCGUUAUUUUUUCUGAGAGUUCUUAUCGAAGAAAAAGUUUGCGACCUCGAUGUUGAAUUAAAGUUUCUUUAUGGUGUAGCAGCUAUAGAAGAGAGUCUGUUCGACUUUUAAUACUUUACGUGAUCUGAG
Molecule: ribosomal RNA, 505 nt
Filed under: Nematopagurus longicornis
Lineage: Eukaryota; Metazoa; Arthropoda; Malacostraca; Decapoda; Paguridae
Description: partial 16S ribosomal RNA
Rfam family: Bacterial large subunit ribosomal RNA
Source: RNAcentral